CUGGCGUCGAUGUUUCAUGUUUAGUGUUUUAUGAUUACAAAUGCCUCUGAUGAUUCCUUGCCGCAUUUUAAAAUUCCCUUCGAAUACACACGCUUAAUUCGUUAAAAAUUCUGGGCAUAUAAUUGGAGCAAAACAGCACUGUCCUGAUUUUAUUUGUGAAAAACUAAAAAUGAGGUUUGAAAUGCAGUUUUGGGCCUUUAGGC
Molecule: non-coding RNA, 203 nt
Organism: Paramuricea clavata
Lineage: Eukaryota; Metazoa; Cnidaria; Anthozoa; Malacalcyonacea; Plexauridae
Source: the annotation of a GenBank genome assembly